RNAcentral lists this ribosomal RNA (233 nucleotides) under uncultured bacterium. Its description in RNAcentral is "partial 16S ribosomal RNA". It matches the Rfam family "Bacterial small subunit ribosomal RNA", at positions 523 to 754 of the family's 1533-position model. The record is from RNAcentral.
ACACGUAGGAGGCGAACGUUAUCCGGAUUUACUGGGCGUAAAGCGCGUGUAGGUGGUUCUGUAAGUAGGGCGUGAAAGCUCCCGGCUCAACUGGGAGAGGCCGUUCUAAACUACAGAACUAGAGGAUGGUAGAGGGAGGUGGAAUUCCAGGUGUAGCGGUGGAAUGCGCAGAUAUCUGGAGGAACACCAGUGGCGAAGGCGGCCUCCUGGACCAUUCCUGACACUCAGACGAC